UAGCCUAAAUCAAAUCGUAAUGUGCGUGUCUGUGAAUAUACAACGCAAAAAGACUGGUGUGCAAGCCCCUUCUAUAUUCAGCGUGUCUCUGUAUGAAUGAGCAGCGCCGUUUCGUCUAGUAGAUCUAGUACACACUCAAGUACGCAUGACGCUCAUGGUUUUUAAAGCUGUCUCAGCCACUACGAAGACGUGAACACAUGAACAUAUCUAGACAGAGAACACUUAAUGUGCACUUUAUAAUUAUUUUUUAAAAGAAUAAUCAUCAAAUACACUGACUGAAACUCAUAGGUGUUCAGUACAACCUGUAAAAAAAAAAGUUUGGUUUAGCCUAUGACUAAAAUAUAUUACUAUUGUGUAUAGUUUUUUUUGUCCAUGUUUUAAUUUAUUAAACUUCUCUUGUGUAGACAAACUAAAGUUGUUACAUUUUAUCUGAUUGCAUUCUCAAAAAUACAUUUUGUAUUCAAUCACAGAAUCCAGACCAGUUAUUUCAGACAACCCAGAAUUUCUGAGGAAAUAAAUAUACAUUUCAUAAAGACUCUAUUGAAAAAAACUUUGUUACAAUAAACCAUGUUCAA
Pimephales promelas (fathead minnow) is the source of this 575-nucleotide non-coding RNA. Lineage: Eukaryota; Metazoa; Chordata; Actinopteri; Cypriniformes; Leuciscidae. The record is from RefSeq and is a predicted model, not a curated record.